GACGAACGCUGGCGGCGUGCCUAAUACAUGCAAGUCGAACGCUUUUUCUUUCACCGGAGCUUGCUCCACCGAAAGAAAAAGAGUGGCGAACGGGUGAGUAACACGUGGGUAACCUGCCCAACAGAAGGGGAUAACACUUGGAAACAGAUGCUAAUACCGUAUAACACUAUUUUCCGCAUGGAAGAAAGUUGAAAGGCGCUUUUGCGUCACUGAUGGAUGGACCCGCGGUGCAUUAGCUAGUUGGUGAGGUAACGGCUCACCAAGGCAACGAUGCAUAGCCGACCUGAGAGGGUGAUCGGCCACACUGGGACUGAAACACGGCCCAGACUCCUACGGGAGGCAGCAGUAGGGAAUCUUCGGCAAUGGACGAAAGUCUGACCGAGCAACGCCGCGUGAGUGAAGAAGGUUUUCGGAUCGUAAAACUCUGUUGUUAGAGAAGAACAAGGAUGAGAGUAAAACGUUCAUCCCUUGACGGUAUCUAACCAGAAAGCCACGGCUAACUACGUGCCAGCCGCCGCCGUAA
RNAcentral lists this ribosomal RNA (523 nucleotides) under uncultured bacterium. RNAcentral's name for it is "partial 16S ribosomal RNA". It matches the Rfam family "Bacterial small subunit ribosomal RNA", at positions 28 to 523 of the family's 1533-position model. The record is from RNAcentral.